AACCGCAAACUUUUUUUCAUUGUCAUUUUUACUAUACGCUAAAAUAGUAGCAAAGAGCAUGAUAUAUGACUAUUCACCAUCUGUAUUGUAUAAAUUACUAGACAACAAAGACUACGACUUGACUAAACUAUUUGUAUUUAUGACUUUUCUGGCAUGGUCAUACUGACAAUGGUAGUCAUCUCAAAUAUAAGAACAAAUAGUUAAACUCACAAUUUCUAGUAAGGUGAAAUUGCUCUUGAGCCUUGAUAUAUGAGAAGCGAAAUAGUUAUUGCUACCAUGUGAAUAUGUUCACAGUAUAAUAAUGUCACCAUAAAUAGAUACAUGGUUUGAUAGACGAUUAUGAAGUUUGAAAACACUAUUCAUGUAGUCCAUAUCAACAGAAUUUAUGUAGUAAUCACAUUAUCGUGUAUUUUUUGUUUUUUAACCGACUAUGUAUUUCAUUUGUGCUGACUAUACAAAUUGUCAAUAAACGAAUGUUCUAUGUUAUUGUCACAUAAAGUUACAAUAUAACAGAAAAUUUCGUACGUGGGUAACACAUCAGUGAUUGAUAUGAAAAAAAUAUUUUAUAUGACGACUUUGUGUAAUUUGGUAGGUCUUGCAGUAAAAUCAACGUCUCGUAUACGAUUUAUUAUUCAUUAUCGGUCGCUGUAGAAAUAACAUCCAACAUAUCGCAGGAAAAAUUCCACCGGACAUCAGAGCCUUUGAUCAACUGCUGCUACCAAACAAUGCUCCUCAGUGUCCACGUUGCUAUUCAACAUUCCACUAGGCAUGUCAUUAUUUAAUAUGAUGUGAAAAUAAAAUAAAAUACCAUGAAACUAUUUUGUUGUUCUUGUUCUAGAAUUCAAAUUCAUAAAACUUUUUAACAUUAGCUCAUGUUCUGCUGAUCUUCAGCAUUGUUGAAACAACCACUGCCUUUAGUUUCGAAAUAACUAGAAGUGAAAUGUUAAAAAUACCAUGGCUCUGGUUAUAGCGAAAACUACAAUGUAAAUAAAGAUUCGGUCAUGGUUAGCCUAACCAUCUCAAUCGUAUUAGUUAUUCAUACAAUAUACUGUUCAAUAUUACUAUUCUAGAGCCGAUACCAUUUAUAGUAAACAUGAACUUGACUAUUGUUGAAAUCAUCUGAUUUAAUAGUCGGCGGAAAACCACUAUACUCGCAUGGUCAGGUUGGCCCUCUAU
Malaya genurostris is the source of this 1176-nucleotide long non-coding RNA. RefSeq lists it as uncharacterized. The record is from RefSeq and is a predicted model, not a curated record. The transcript has 3 exons. NCBI's taxonomy places the organism in Eukaryota, Metazoa, Arthropoda, Insecta, Diptera, Culicidae.